CUUGAAAGUUUAGAAGAAGAGACGAAUGUUUAAGAUUACAAAGAAAACGGAACAAUCGCUUUAUUGGAAAAGUUUUUGUACGUAGAGUCGUAGAUCUACGCGAAAAAUAGCACAGCAAAUAAAAUUACGAAAAUGUAGAAAGUAGAAGUUUGGUGUCGCGGCCCUCAUGUCAUGUCCUCCACUCCAUGCUGUUUAGCAGAUUUGAGGCCUGAGCUAGUCGUCACUACCACAAAAUAUGCAAGUGUUGCUUGUGCUGGAAUUGAUCUGCCUCCAGCAACAAUCUCAUGAAAUCGCUGUAUAAGAUAAACAACAUCCCGUUGGAUCGGAAUGGAGAAACUACUGAUGUCGGCCGAGUUACGGAUCAAUUCUUCCCCUUUAUUUUAAUUCCCUCUAUCCUCGUGUACACCCAUGUGUGUGUGGUGGAUUUCACUAUUCAGCGGAUGGAUCACUUGCUGGAUGCCUGGCCGUAGAUUUACCAGGCUUAAAGGUAGGACACAAUUGAUCAUUAUUCUUCCUUUUUGACUAUUAAGUGGCGUUGUUUAUCAAUCGCGACAUAGUAUGGAGUAGAAUUAUUAUUCCUGGGCUAGGCUGUUGGCCGUUUCCUCUUACCGUUUUUGUUUACUCACGUCA
Molecule: long non-coding RNA, 630 nt
Organism: Daphnia pulicaria
Lineage: Eukaryota; Metazoa; Arthropoda; Branchiopoda; Diplostraca; Daphniidae
Exons: 3
Source: RefSeq, a predicted model, not a curated record